GGCUGUGAGAAUGAUCUGUGUGGUGCAGCUGUGGCCCCACUGGCUGCCGGGUGUCGGGAGACCUGUGUGCCAUCUUUCUGCCUCACGCCAUGUGCCUGCCUCCUGAGGCUAUGGGCUGCACCCAAGAGAAUGACCUUCCUCGACAGAGGAAGGUAGCUCUCCUGGAAGAGAAAUGGGAGGAACUUCUUUCUGCUAGAACCCACAACUGCAGGUUUAAAAUGCUGUGUGUGUGUGUGUGUGUAUGCACAUGGAUGUGUGCACGCACGUGUGUGUGUACAUCUU
This 282-nucleotide small RNA is filed under the name Cebus imitator (Panamanian white-faced capuchin). Its description in RNAcentral is "7SK RNA (ENSCCAG00000015378.1)". It matches the Rfam family "7SK RNA". From Rfam's summary of the family: 7SK was discovered as an abundant small nuclear RNA in the mid-70s but a possible function has only recently been suggested. Two independent studies have found that 7SK RNA binds the CDK9/cyclin T complex (known as elongation factor P-TEFb). P-TEFb activates transcription by phosphorylating the C-terminal domain of RNA polymerase II. Lineage: Eukaryota; Metazoa; Chordata; Mammalia; Primates; Cebidae. The record is from Rfam by way of RNAcentral.